Molecule: ribosomal RNA, 979 nt
Filed under: Salmonella enterica
Lineage: Bacteria; Pseudomonadati; Pseudomonadota; Gammaproteobacteria; Enterobacterales; Enterobacteriaceae
Also listed under: 1 other name
Description: partial 23S ribosomal RNA
Rfam family: Bacterial large subunit ribosomal RNA
Source: RNAcentral
CCCCGGUAAACGGCGGCCGUAACUAUAACGGUCCUAAGGUAGCGAAAUUCCUUGUCGGGUAAGUUCCGACCUGCACGAAUGGCGUAAUGAUGGCCAGGCUGUCUCCACCCGAGACUCAGUGAAAUUGAACUCGCUGUGAAGAUGCAGUGUACCCGCGGCAAGACGGAAAGACCCCGUGAACCUUUACUAUAGCUUGACACUGAACAUUGAGCCUUGAUGUGUAGGAUAGGUGGGAGGCUUUGAAGUGUGGACGCCAGUCUGCAUGGAGCCGACCUUGAAAUACCACCCUUUAAUGUUUGAUGUUCUAACGUGGACCCGUAAUCCGGGUUGCGGACAGUGUCUGGUGGGUAGUUUGACUGGGGCGGUCUCCUCCUAAAGAGUAACGGAGGAGCACGAAGGUUGGCUAAUCCUGGUCGGACAUCAGGAGGUUAGUGCAAUGGCAUAAGCCAGCUUGACUGCGAGCGUGACGGCGCGAGCAGGUGCGAAAGCAGGUCAUAGUGAUCCGGUGGUUCUGAAUGGAAGGGCCAUCGCUCAACGGAUAAAAGGUACUCCGGGGAUAACAGGCUGAUACCGCCCAAGAGUUCAUAUCGACGGCGGUGUUUGGCACCUCGAUGUCGGCUCAUCACAUCCUGGGGCUGAAGUAGGUCCCAAGGGUAUGGCUGUUCGCCAUUUAAAGUGGUACGCGAGCUGGGUUUAGAACGUCGUGAGACAGUUCGGUCCCUAUCUGCCGUGGGCGCUGGAGAACUGAGGGGGGCUGCUCCUAGUACGAGAGGACCGGAGUGGACGCAUCACUGGUGUUCGGGUUGUCAUGCCAAUGGCACUGCCCGGUAGCUAAAUGCGGAAGAGAUAAGUGCUGAAAGCAUCUAAGCACGAAACUUGCCCCGAGAUGAGUUCUCCCUGAGACUUAGAGUCUCCUGAAGGAACGUUGAAGACGACGACGUUGAUAGGCCGGGUGUGUAAGCGCAGCGAUGCGUUGAGC